CGGCGCUGCUGCGCCCCGGCCCUGUCCCGUGCACCGGGCCUCCCCCCCCUUUCCUCCGUUAACCGGACCCUCGUCCCCAGCACCCCUUUCCCGUACACUGCUCCCUGCCACCACCCUCCCCGCACGCGGGACCCCAAAUUCCCCGUCGGCAGGUUUGCGCCCAGGUCUCACCCGCCGUGGGCAGCACCCCGGCACGCUCGUUCCUGCCCCAACCGGGGGGCACCGGGGCCCCGGAGCCCCCUCGCUGCCCGGCUCCGCACCCCCAGUUCUUCCCCCCCGCGGAGCCGGGGGACCCCGCUGCCCCCUCUCUCCCCGACCCGGCGGGCGGGGGGCCGUGCUCGGGGUCCCCCCCGCUUCCGCCUCCGUCCCGGAGCCGAGCUCUGCGGCACGUGGCGCCCCGUGCAGCGGUUUUCGGGCCGGGGCGCGAAGUGUCGCUCCUUCCGCCAGGGCCGGCUCGAAGGCCGGGGUGCCCGGGCUGGGCAGCGCUUGGGCCUCYGGCAUGGGGGUGUCCUGGUCUGGAAUUGGGAGGGGGGGGGUGGAUCAAGGCCUGUUCCCGGUGGGAGGCAGCACAGGUGCUGGCGGGCUGCCGGUCCUGGCUAUGCCGCGGGCCGUUCGUUCGCACGUGGUCGCGGGGYGGCAAAGUUCUCGGGAGCCUGCUGCAAGGUGUCGCUCCGCUUCCCGCACCGGUGGCUGCGUGUGCCGCUGGAGCUGGGGCYGGGGGGAGCUCUGCACCCGGAGGCAGCCCCGGCACGCUUGGCUGUGGAGCGACCGCGGGAGCCUCUUCCCCUGCCUCUGCCGCCACCGGAGCAUCCUUCCCCGCCAGCGCCCCGGAUCCAGCCCCCUCCGCUUUGCAGCGGCCCUCGUCCGGGGGGAUGCGAGGAGUGGGAAGGCAGCGUGCCGGCGGAGAGGACCCAGCUCCAGCUGCCUGUUCCCGCCAGUGCCGCAGGCAGGGGGCCGGCGCAUGGCCUUAACACCGGCACUGUGAUCCCGCAUCCUCACCGGUUGGGUCGGGGCCGAGCCRUGCCAGCCGGCUCCCCGCUUUAUCCUUGGCGCUGCCGGGAAUUGGGGAGGGGGGAAGCGUUCUGGACCGGGCACGGCAGCAGCCUGCCAGUGCCCGCGCUCCUGCGGCACGGAUGCCCCGCCGGCACGGCUCCRUGUGGCGCCGGCAGCGCUCUUCCGGCGCUCGGGCAGCGGCGUGGCACGGAAAUCGCGCGAAGCAGCGGAGCAGGAGCCCCUCGGCCCCGACGGGCUUCCGUGCCGCGCGUCGCUCUCGCGGAAGYUCGCCCUGGGGGGGGAAGCAUGGAGGAAGCGUGA
This 1314-nucleotide long non-coding RNA is filed under the name Apteryx haastii (Great spotted kiwi). RNAcentral's name for it is "lncRNA (ENSAHAG00000017271.1)". The record is from RNAcentral. Lineage: Eukaryota; Metazoa; Chordata; Aves; Apterygiformes; Apterygidae.